RNAcentral lists this ribosomal RNA (443 nucleotides) under uncultured bacterium. Its description in RNAcentral is "partial 16S ribosomal RNA". It matches the Rfam family "Bacterial small subunit ribosomal RNA", at positions 338 to 795 of the family's 1533-position model. The record is from RNAcentral.
CCUACGGGUGGCAGCAGUGGGGAAUAUUGGGCAAUGGGCGCAAGCCUGACCCAGCAACGCCGCGUGAAGGAAGAAGGCUCUCGGGUUGUAAACUUCUUUUAUCAGGGACGAAGCAAGUGACGGUACCUGCUGAAUAAGCCACGGCCAACUACUUGCCAGCAGCCGCGGUAAUACGUAGGGGGCAAGCGUUAUCCGGAUUUACUGGGUGUAAAGGGCGUGUAGGGGGGAGUGCAAGUCAGAUGUGAAAACUAUGGGCUCAACCCAUAGCCUGCAUUUGAAACUGUACGUCUUGUGUGCUGGAGAGGCAAGCGGAAUGCGGGGUGUAGCGGUGAAAUGCGUAGAUAUAAGGAGGAACACCAGUGGCGAAGGCGGAUUGCUGGACAGUAACUGACGCUGAGGCGCGAAAGCGUGGGGAGCGAACAGGAUUAGAUACCCCUGUAGUC